CAGGUGCAGCUUGUAGAGACCGGGGGAGGCUUGGUGAGGCCUGGAAAUUCUCUGAAACUCUCCUGUGUUACCUCGGGAUUCACUUUCAGUAACUACCGGAUGCACUGGCUUCGCCAGCCUCCAGGGAAGAGGCUGGAGUGGAUUGCUGUAAUUACAGUCAAAUCUGAUAAUUAUGGAGCAAAUUAUGCAGAGUCUGUGAAAGGCAGAUUCGCCAUUUCAAGAGAUGAUUCAAAAAGCAGUGUCUACCUAGAGAUGAACAGAUUAAGAGAGGAAGACACUGCCACUUAUUUUUGUAGUAGA
Non-coding RNA from Mus musculus (house mouse), 300 nucleotides. Lineage: Eukaryota; Metazoa; Chordata; Mammalia; Rodentia; Muridae. The record is from the annotation of a RefSeq genome assembly.